CUGCCUCCACCCAAUCCAUGUGCAGCCACAACACUCCGGAAGUCACUGAAAAAUCCCUCUACGAAACGCUCGCAAAAGCGGCUCCUAAAUCACAUAGAAUCGAUUUCUAAACUUUAAUUUCAAUGAAAAUCCAUCCAAAACACAUCUCCUAAGAUCCAAUAUGAAGAAUCCACCAAAAAAAUCCUAUUCAAAAUUAUAAUAAUAAAAUACUACCUCGCAAUCGAAGCGCCGGAAAAAUCCAACACACGAGGAGGCUCGAUCGGCUCGUCAAACGGCCCAAGAAAUAUCUUUAUUUUUCUUCUUCUCCUCUUUUCCCCUUCCUUUUCCUCUCCCUUUCUCUCUCUUGCAUACACGUUCAAGGUGGAGAAGCUUCAAGAGGCCUCUCAGGUAACUUAGUGGAGAUCCAUUAAGCAAUGUAACAAUUGAUCGUAGGUUCACAAGAAUUAAGCAUACAAACUUUAGUCCAAUUAAGAAUCUGAUACUUUUCGCUGGAGCCCUUCUGAAUGUCUGUUUGUACUCAAAUUUGACAGUCAGACUCUAUUAAAAUUAAUCAGAAGAACAUGAUCUUAAUUUUCUAGUUUCGAACCAUUUUUUGUCACCGAAAGGUCUACUGACUAAAAUCUCUAUCAGAUUGCUGUUAUUUUCUGUUUCCACUUUCCGAGUGUCAGAAUGGCAUGAAACUUUAAAUCUAACGGCAGAAAAAUAAUUUCUCCACAUUCUCAAAUUUUCAUAAUUUUCUGACACUAUAAUUUUUCUGCUAAAAAAUAAGCUCCGUUUCUUACCGAAAAUUAUAAAUCUGCUGUUUUCAUUUCAAUUUCAAUACAAGUCAUUUUCGACUUAUAUUUUACUUCUCUAAGUCCAAUAAACAUAGUAUCUCAUACUAUUUUUAUUUAUACUUACUUUUAUAUUAAAAAUCCGAUACACUACAACCUUAGCCCAAAAGAACCCCAGCAUGA
Molecule: long non-coding RNA, 956 nt
Filed under: Ananas comosus (pineapple)
Lineage: Eukaryota; Viridiplantae; Streptophyta; Magnoliopsida; Poales; Bromeliaceae
Description: long non-coding RNA (ACOM_LNC001926)
Source: RNAcentral